CUUGUUAUUGGAUCUUGGGCUGAGGACUGUUCCACCUGUGUGAAGAUGCUCCAUGUAGUUGAAUUUGUCACCAAUAAAACCGUAGCAGUGGUGCCCCAAAGUUGGUACGAGGAUGGUUGUGCAUCGUGGCCAACUUAUAACAGUGACAAAAGAAUAAUUAGGGCAAUAAAACAUGGAGAGGAGCCACAGGAUGACUUGCAGACACAUGAUGUCAGAAUCAUCAAAUCAUCUGGUAUGCCAAAUCUCAAAGUUGUUUCUUGGCAAAGUGGUUUUUACAAAUCCUACACCUACAAAUCCACUGCCAUCACUGUUUAAAAGAAUAUGCCACCGUUUUAUGAAAUUGGGUUAUUCACUGUCUCCCCUUGAGUAAGAUAAGUGAGCAAAAACUUUUGUCACCUGCCGGACUAAGACAAUGCAUGCACGGAGACAAAAAUGUUUUUGCGCACUUAUCUAACUGUAGGGGAGGCUGUGAAUAAUUAAUUUCAUAAAAUGGUGGCAAGUUCCUUUAAGACUCAUGUCAAGCUCCAUGUUUACCUUUCAGAUUCUUACAUUGAGGCACAUCAAUUCCUGAAGAAGGCUCUGACAAGUAGCACCUUGGACCUCCAAACUGAGUAUGAACAGGAACGGCCUGGGAGAAGGAGAACAUCAGCGAAGUCAGUGUUUUUCCUUCAUGUUACACAUACAAACACUAACACCAUAUACUUUUAUUAAAAAGACAGAACAGAGAUCAAUGUCUGCUUUAAAUGUUGAUUUGCAUGUAGAUAAAGAUCUUUUUUUAUUUUAUUUAAACAGACAUUUCUUUGGUGACACUGAUAUAGAGGAGGACUACCGACCCCCAAAGAGGUCCAAAUCCGGGUCUUCUGCUGGGACAAGUCACCAACUCCCUGCAAAUAGUCCAGAGAUCUGUCAAAAUUGACACCAAUAUAACACCCAACAACAACACAGUGUUUGGCAGAACUGCCCCUCCCCAACCACAAACACUCCUCUCUCAACCUGCGCAAUGCAACCAGCAACAACGGGGGCCAGAGGAGCCAAGCCAGGUCUACAGACCUACCUGGAGAGGUGGGAGACAUGGCCCAGAAACCAUUCCCUGCUCUGGUAAGAAAUAACUGUAACUACAAGCUAUAAUACCUUGGCUUUAACCACGGGGGACAGGGGGGGGACUUAAGUGCGUGGAAUGGAGGGGGAAUAACUAUUCUAUAAUACUAUGUAUUCAACAGCUGCUCAGGUCCACAUUUUAAGCCUGCUGGAGCACAUUAAGCAGCAGGAGGACCAGCUGGUGGCCAAGGUCAAUCACCUGAGCAGCAGGGUGCUCAACACCUCAAGAGCCAGAGUGUCCUGAAUGCAUUCAGCUGCCCAUCGAAUCACUGGAAGCGGUGGAUGAGCUUGAAGCAUUCCUGAAAGACGCUGCCAAUGCAGCAGCCAAACAAAGAAUGGUAUGCUCCUGCCAGUCACUCAACUCUAAUUGGUAAAGUGCUGGGGUGGUGGGUGUGUGGUGUGGGGUGGGGCAAAGAUUGUCGUACAAGUUAUUACAUCAGGGCUUUAUACCUUGUCUGUAUUUUAAGGUGUUUUGUGACUUACUUUUAGAUUUCUUAUUUGGCCACGAUUGGUGGCCAAGAUGUGAAGAGAGUGGUGUGGAACAUUCUCUCUCGGAUGUUCACUGAAGAAGUGGCCAAGACCAUAAGCUGGAAGGGGGCAAACGGCAAGAGGGCAUUCGGUGACAUGUCGUCAAAGACACUGCUGUACCGUAAGUCAUUUUAAGUAGUGUAACGGCUUUAAGGAAAGUGUAACGGCUCCCACACACAGCUGCAUGCAGUGCAAUGCUGGGGUCGGCUGUAAACGGUGUUGCCAGAUUGGGUUGAGUGAUUUACGCCCAAUCAUGAUCGAAAACCCACCCCCUUCAGCAGAAAAUCCGCCCCAACAACGAUACUGUCACAGAUAAACAAUUUAACAAUUUAUAAACAAGCCGGUGUUACAAUAAAGUCGGUUCCUGGAAUAUCUGAUUCCAAUGGGUGGAGCUAAUAAUGAAUAUUCAUGACACCAUAGCGUGCGCGGGGCGACACAUUUUUAUUAACUCACAAAUGCAACCAAAACAUAUAAAAAGAACAUUUAUCUGAAAAUUGUACAUUCUGUACUUCAGUAUGGACAUUCGCAACAAAAAAUUGGCCUACACAUUUUUUAAAAUAAAGAAAAUAAACAAUUGGAAAAACAAUUCUGGCUGCUACUAUGGGCUCAGUGCUAUAAAUCUUUUUUACAGAUAACCAAAUUACAAGCAAUAGCAGAAAAUAACUACAAUACAACAAACACACAAGUUCAAUAAACAGUGCUUUUCAGGGUUUUCAGCUCUCGGUUUUUCAGGUACGCUACAGAAAUGUAAUAGGCUAAUCAAAUGUAAAAUAACUGCACAGUCUUCACUCUAUGAAUUAAAUAUAGAUUAAUCAUUUCUGAUGUUAUAACGGUUAUUUAGUCAGGAACAGUGAUCACUUGUAUUUUUCUUUGACAGCAUUAGAUUUAUUAUUAAUUUGCUUUCAUUUUAAGAAUGAAGCACGGAUUUAAUAUACUGAUACCCACUCCUUUUUACAUUAAGACAUAUGCCAUACAACGACUGUGUUUACUAGGAUAUUCGUCAAAAGGCGCAUUUUGAUUUAAUUUUGUCUAUUUAUUCAUUCAUGCACAAAAAAGCGGAAGAGAGCUCGAUUAAGUAUUCACGCGGUCUAGACACAGCUGUCUGUGUGCGUGCGCGCGCGCUUCAGAUGUGUGCGCUGAAAACUUCUCACACAGCGCUUGACUGUUCCACUAACAAUCCCGAGCAUCUUUUGUACUUCACCUUGUGCCUUCGGGCAAGGGCAGUCCUUAUAUCAAGUCCUGAUAUGCAAGUUUGAACGAGAAUGCACGCGUUGGCAGUAAUGCAUAGACAGU
Carassius auratus (goldfish) is the source of this 2919-nucleotide long non-coding RNA. Lineage: Eukaryota; Metazoa; Chordata; Actinopteri; Cypriniformes; Cyprinidae. The record is from Ensembl.